Salvia hispanica is the source of this 1126-nucleotide long non-coding RNA. RefSeq lists it as uncharacterized. Lineage: Eukaryota; Viridiplantae; Streptophyta; Magnoliopsida; Lamiales; Lamiaceae. The record is from RefSeq and is a predicted model, not a curated record.
AUGAUACGCUAUGUGAACACCAUUCUCAUAUUGUCUAUAUAUAGAUAGACAUAAGAUUCACACCUAUCAACAUAUGUAGUUUCUUGAUGGAUUCCAAAGAUGAUGCGUAUUUUUCCAUGAAUGGUGGCGAUGGAAAUCACAGCUAUGCCAAAAACUCAACCUACCAGAGAGGACUAUUCGACGCUGCAACGGAAAUCAUCGAAGAAGAAAUCGCCACAAAGUUAGAGAUUCCAACUUCAAGCAAGCACUUAUGAAUUGCCGAUUUCGGGUGCUCAACCGGCAGCAACUCUUUUCCGGCCAUGCACACGAUCAUCGAAGCCAUCAAACAAAAAUACAAAUCCUCAUACCUCAAAACCCCAGAAUUCUAUGUUUGCUUCAACGACGUCUUCUCCAACGAUUUCAACACCCUCUUCAGCUCACUCCCACCCGACAGGGGCUAUGAUGUUGCCGUUUUGCCCGGAGACUUCCACCGCCGUCUACUCCCGCCAUCGUCCAUCCAUUUCGCGUACUCUGCUUGCUCGCUCCACUGGCUGACGGAGGUACCCAAGGUGGUCGAGGGCCUCAAGUCUCCGCCUCGGAGCGGAGGAGAGAGGGAGGAGGUUUAUGAAGCUUAUUUGGGGCAAUUUGAGAGGGAUUUGAAAUCAUUCUUGAAAUGUAGGGCUUUGGAAAUGGUGGAAGGUGGGAUUAUGUCUCUUCUUAUUCCGGAGUGCCUACUUAUUGGGACCCACAAAAAGAGUUUACCAAUGUGUCUUUGGCCGAACUUCUCAGAUCUUCCCUCCUCGAUCUGACCAAAAAGGAAAGACUGAGUGAGACAAAAUUAGUGAAAUUCAACCUUCCGUACUUCUUUCCUACCCAAAAGAGGUGAGGGCUGUCUUGGAAAGGAGCAAGAGUUUUAGCAUAGAAAGAAUGGAAAUUUUGAAGAGUGGGGCACUGCUCAGUAUUGAUGGCUACGUGGCAUGUUUCAGGGCCGCUCAUGAAAACAUGUUUUCACAUAAGUUUGGAGCUGAAAAUGUCAAUAAAAUUUUCUAAUGUUAAAGAAGAAACUCCAAACUUUUCCUGUUUACGCAAAUCCUUCUAAUGAUAAAUCUAUUGUGGUUGUUGCUAUCCUCAAGCACAACAAUGUUUA